AAAGUGUAAAUAUUUUACCAAUAGCGGAAAGUAAAGGCUUUCCUAGUUGGGACAGCAUAUAGGGAAACGUUAAGGAUUAUAGGCACCGGAGAGGUAACCCGGCUUGAGGGGUUGGUUAAAGGGAAAGGCGAGACUUAGGGCGAGACCGAGCGGGGCUAAUUGAGGCGACCCGGGGAGGGGCGGGACCGCGGACUGGAUUUCGACUUCCAAAUUCCCACGAGGUAUAGGAGUCUGAGGGUUGCACAGGACCUUAUGCAUUGUUUGACUCCUCCAGAGCCUUUAGAGAAACUUCUAUCAGGCCCGCCUGCUAGGCACUAGUCGGGGAGAUAAUGUAGCCAGGGAGAUGUGGCGGACAGAAAGGGCAGAGAGGCUCUCUGAGGAGCGGAUGGAGGAUCGUGGGCCGCUUUACUGAGAAGGAAGAGACCCUGCGAGAAGGAGUAGUGUCGACUUGGUCCCGUCAGCCGGACCCCACCUGGACGGCUGGGGCCACUUGUGGUCGCCGGGAGGGAAAAGAAACUAUCUGCAAAGGAAGAUUCUCAUGCACAGAUUGAAACCCUCUGAGAUAUCAACCCCCUAGCUUGGCCCGUGCAGGCUUUCUUUGCCUUUAAGAAGAUGAAAUUGUUACCAAAGCAGGAGAAGAAUGUCAGACACUCUGCAUGCUUGCCAGAGAGCUCGCUAGAGGACGUGCAGAAGGUCAAAGUCCUCCAUCACCAGAGCAAGUUCAGCCACCAGGCCCCUUAAGCACAGUGCCAAGAGCCUGUGAAAACAUGAAACCUUUGAAAAUAUGGGUGCCAAAAUAUAAAAACAAAGAAUGUAUGAAUAGUAUGAAAUCUUUAUAAAACAUAAUAUUGUCAGUUUCAUUCACUGUCAAAUUUAAUAUUCAAAAUAGUCUCAUUACAUUUAUAAAACUUG
Molecule: long non-coding RNA, 912 nt
Filed under: Homo sapiens (human)
Lineage: Eukaryota; Metazoa; Chordata; Mammalia; Primates; Hominidae
Description: non-protein coding lnc-PRPF40B-1:3
Source: RNAcentral